Molecule: long non-coding RNA, 275 nt
Filed under: Rattus norvegicus (Norway rat)
Lineage: Eukaryota; Metazoa; Chordata; Mammalia; Rodentia; Muridae
Description: long non-coding RNA NONRATT023238
Source: RNAcentral
AACGGAGAUCACUACCUUCCCAGUUACAGAACAAUCCAGCUCCUGUAAUUGAUGAACAAAAAUUAGGAAUUCACAAACCACCAUUAUGGAUGCACCGUUCCCUGAUGAGAAUAUCUGAGAGACCAUCAGUUUAUUUGGCUGCCAGGAAGAGCCUUCCACCAAAACCACCUCGUUUUGGCAAGGGAGAGUUUAAAAGAGCGGGCACAACCAAGACUUUGGCUUCAGAAAAAUCAAAGAAAGAAGUGAAACUGAAAAAAGAUGAAUGUGAAGCAAAA